Long non-coding RNA from Rhinopithecus roxellana (golden snub-nosed monkey), 579 nucleotides. RefSeq lists it as uncharacterized. NCBI's taxonomy places the organism in Eukaryota, Metazoa, Chordata, Mammalia, Primates, Cercopithecidae. The record is from RefSeq and is a predicted model, not a curated record. The transcript is spliced from 3 exons.
GGAAACUUGAUUUUGAAGCUUUGUGACGGGGAAUGGGUGCUUGCCUGGGAUGUGGUGGCCUCACUACGGGGCAUCUCGGCUGGGUUGCUUGUUCCCAGGGGUUUCCUCAGCGCAGACCCACCCUCCUUCCGUGUCAUGAGGCCAUCACUCCUGAGGGCCUGGCCCAGGUCUGAGCUAGACACAGUGGCAUGUGAAGACAGGCGGGGACUAAGGCCCAACGUGGCUACUCCUGGACUGGGCGGAGCCUGGGCAGCCCUGGUACAUCCAUCAUGUGAGCAUACCUUGUUCACACAAUAUGAUCAUAAGCUGCGGAUGUCCUGUUUCUUUGUCAAGAAGGAGGAGGAGAUAACUUCAGAGUCACGAAAGUAUUUUUGUAGGAGUGAAUGUCGUCAAGGACGUAGAGACCAGCCUCUGUUGCCCACAAAUCUGAUUGCUUAAGGUGUUACCUGAGACUGAAGAAACACAGACUUUUCCCCUGAAAUGCCACCUCCCUCACUCCUUAGCCAAAUAAAAACUCCCUGCUUCAUCCUUUUGCUAACAUGGAGUUGAGGGAUUUUCUCUCCUGCCUUCUUACUUUGG